GCUGGCGGCGUGCCUAACACAUGCAAGUCGAACGAGAACGGGUUAAAGUUUACUUUAACUGUCAGCUAAGUGGCGCACGGGUGAGUAAUAUAUAGUUAAUCUGCCCCAAAGAAGAGAAUAAUUGUUGGAAACGACUUGUAACUCUCUAUAUGCCUUUAUCACAUAAGUGAGCAAGGGAAACAUUUAUGGCUUUGGGAUGAGACUGUACGGUAUCAGUUAGUUGGUAAGGUAAUGGCUUACCAAGACUAUGACGCCUAACUGGUUUGAGAGGAUGAUCAGUCACACUGGAACUGAGACACGGUCCAGACUCCUACGGGAGGCAGCAGUGGGGAAUAUUGCACAAUGGAGGAAACUCUGAUGCAGCAACGCCGCGUGGAGGAUGACACAUUUCGGUGCGUAAACUCCUUUUAUAUGAGAAGAUAAUGACGGUAUCAUAUGAAUAAGCACCGGCUAACUCCGUGCCAGCAGCCGCGGUAAUACGGGGGGUGCAAGCGUUACUCGGAAUCACUGGGCGUAAAGAGCAUGUAGGCGGAUAGAUAAGUUGGAAGUGAAAUCCUAUGGCUUAACCAUAGAACUGCUUCCAAAACUGUCUAUCUAGAAUAUGGGAGAGGUAGAUGGAAUUUCUGGUGUAGGGGUAAAAUCCGUAGAGAUCAGAAGGAAUACCGAUUGCGAAGGCGAUCUACUGGAACAUUAUUGACGCUCAGAUGCGAAAGCGUGGGGAGCAAACAGGAUUAGAUACCCUGGUAGUCCACGCCCUAAACGAUGCACACUAGUUGUUGCCUUGCUAGACAAGGCAGUAAUGCAGUUAACACAGUAAGUGUGCCGCCUGGGGAGUACGGUCGCAAGAUGGAGCG
RNAcentral lists this ribosomal RNA (854 nucleotides) under uncultured bacterium. RNAcentral's name for it is "bacterial SSU rRNA". It matches the Rfam family "Bacterial small subunit ribosomal RNA", at positions 35 to 901 of the family's 1533-position model. The record is from RNAcentral.